GCCUGCCAAGGUUGUCGCUACGGAUACGAUAAACCAAAUCAUUUUAGAAUAUAAACUAAUUAUUAGGUCGACAAGGUAUCCUGUUCUAUUGCGAGAAGAAAGACAAUUUGGUAGUAGCACUGGCGGCAACGCUGAUGCAAGGAG
This 144-nucleotide non-coding RNA is filed under the name unclassified sequences. The record is from Rfam.